UUUAUAGUUUAAAUAAAAACACAAGUCUCAUGAACUUAAAUUGUGGCUAACACUCCACUAAAC
This 63-nucleotide transfer RNA is filed under the name Caulophacus iocasicus. Its description in RNAcentral is "tRNA-Met". Lineage: Eukaryota; Metazoa; Porifera; Hexactinellida; Lyssacinosida; Rossellidae. The record is from RNAcentral.